Molecule: ribosomal RNA, 438 nt
Filed under: uncultured bacterium
Lineage: Bacteria
Description: partial 16S ribosomal RNA
Rfam family: Bacterial small subunit ribosomal RNA
Source: RNAcentral
CUACGGGGGGCUCCAGUGAGGAAUAUUGCACAAUGGGGGGAACCCUGAUGCAGCAACGCCGCGUGGAGGAUGACGCAUUUCGGUGUGUAAACUCCUUUUAUAUGUCAAGAAAAUGACGGUAGCAUAUGAAUAAGCACCGGCUAACUCCGUGCCAGCAGCCGCGGUAAUACGGAGGGUGCAAGCGUUACUCGGAAUCACUGGGCGUAAAGGACGCGUAGGCGGGUUGGGAAGUCAGGUGUGAAAUCCUACAGCUUAACUGUAGAACUGCACUUGAAACUCUAAUCUAGAGUAUGGGAGGGGCAGAUGGAAUUAGUGGUGUAGGGGUAAAAUCCGUAGAUAUCACUAGGAAUACCUAAAGCGAAGGCGAUCUGCUGGAACAUUACUGACGCUAAGGCGUGAAAGCGUGGGGAGCAAACAGGAUUAGAUACCCGGGUAGUC